RNAcentral lists this long non-coding RNA (762 nucleotides) under Lepisosteus oculatus (spotted gar). RNAcentral describes it as "lncRNA (ENSLOCG00000022034.1)". The record is from RNAcentral. Lineage: Eukaryota; Metazoa; Chordata; Actinopteri; Semionotiformes; Lepisosteidae.
CCCGGUGAUGUGAGGGACCAGAGGCGUGAUCUCAGAGGAGAUCAGAGAGGACAGAGGCAUCAGCGAACUGUAGACUCUGAGCCUGAGAUGUCCAUAGUGGCAGUCACUACCCCCAUGGCCUCACACACCUCUUUGCAAUCAGCCAGCUUUCCUUGACUGAGUUCUUCCUCCCUGCUGCUUUCACCAGCUCCCAGAGUCUGUGCCUGAGCCUCUCCCAGUACUUGGGAGUCUUCUACUGGACACCAUUUGGCUCGGGUGCUGAUUCUGCUCUAGACCUCCUUAAGAAAUGGUUCAUCUCCCGCCAGUUUCCAGGUGGAGCCAAGAAAAAAAGCCACCUGCACCGUCAGACUGUGGCCACGCCCACUCGCAUGACAUCUCUCGCAGGCCACGCCCCGCGCACCUGUGCGCCAGGUUCUGCUGGAGAGAGCGGAGCUGAUUUGGUGUCUUCGGGCAGGACGGACUUGGCUCAGCUGCUGAAAUUAUCUAUGAAAUGCAACGAAGUUCCAGUCUUCAUUCCGGUCUCUGCCUCGACUGAUAACUCGGAGAAACAGUAACGUGCUGUGUGUUUCUGUAUCUUUGCUUGUAGUUGUUUGCAAAUGUUUUCUUACUCUGUUGACUUGUAACACUAUUUAGCGUUAAUGUAGCCGUGCUUUGACACUUUGUAUUUGAAAUGCAUGUUCAUUUUCACUUUGAAGCCUGUGCAUCCGACGUAUUGUAAUGCUUUGUUUUGUAUGCCAUUUUCGCUCAAUAAAUUGUUGAUUG